This 253-nucleotide ribosomal RNA is filed under the name uncultured bacterium. RNAcentral describes it as "partial 16S ribosomal RNA". It matches the Rfam family "Bacterial small subunit ribosomal RNA", at positions 524 to 776 of the family's 1533-position model. The record is from RNAcentral.
GACGUAGGGCGCGAGCGUUGUCCGGAUUUAUUGGGCGUAAAGAGCUCGUAGGUGGUUUGUCGCGUUGUUCGUGAAAACUCACAGCUUAACUGUGGGCGUGCGGGCGAUACGGGCAGACUGGAGUACUGCAGGGGAGACUGGAAUUCCUGGUGUAGCGGUGGAAUGCGCAGAUAUCAGGAAGAACACCCGUGGCGAAGGCGGCUCUCUGGGACGGUACUGACGCUGAGACGCGAAAGCGUGGGGAGCGAACAGG